CCAGCAGCUGCGGUAAUUCCAGCUCCAAUAGUGUAUAUUAAAGUUGUUGCAGUUAAAAAGCUCGUAGUCGAAUGUAGAGUUAUAGAUGCUGAAGUGUCUUUUAGGAGACAAAUUUCGGCGUUUAUAAUUUUUUUCUACCGACCACUGUUCGUUUUUAGAUAAACGAAUUUGAGGUGCCGGUAAAUUUUACUGUGAAUAAAUUAGAGUGUUCAUGGCAGGCCACUAGGGCUUAAAUAUCUCAGCAUGGAAUAAUAGAAUAGGACUUCUGGUUCUAUUUUGUUGGUUUUCGGAGCCGAAGUAAUGAUUAAUAGGAAUAGUUGGGGGCACUCGUACUCCGUUGUCAGAGGUGAAAUUCUUGGAUUUACGGAAGACGAACAACUGCGAAAGCAUCUGCCAAGGAUGUUUUCAUUGAUCAAGAACGAAAGU
RNAcentral lists this ribosomal RNA (426 nucleotides) under uncultured eukaryote. RNAcentral's name for it is "SSU rRNA". It matches the Rfam family "Eukaryotic small subunit ribosomal RNA", at positions 567 to 990 of the family's 1831-position model. The record is from RNAcentral.